CCAGAACCAUAUGAAUAUUAAGGUUUAUACUAAUUANACCAGCUAGCCUUGUGCUUUCAGGUCUUAACAGUAUAUACUAACUAUUUUUUAUCUACAUUCAUUAAUUAACUUUAUUUUAUAUGCUUAACGGCGAUAAGGUAUUGUUUAAGAUAUGGAUUAAGGUAUGAUUUGGAAAUUAAUAUUAUGUGGUGUCACAAAAUCGGAGGCCCCGACUGUUUACUUAAAACACAGCUUUCUGCUACGAAUAAUAUCUGUGUAUAGAAAGCGAAUUUUGCCCAAUGCCAUUAAUAUAAAGUUGAUAAGCGCAUAGCGUAUUUAUUAGCUGAAGGGGUGGUCAAUGGCGGUCUUAUCUAUGAGGAUCCUAAGGUAGCAAAAUUAAUUG
Molecule: ribosomal RNA, 382 nt
Filed under: Tulasnella violea
Lineage: Eukaryota; Fungi; Basidiomycota; Agaricomycetes; Cantharellales; Tulasnellaceae
Description: LSU rRNA
Rfam family: Bacterial large subunit ribosomal RNA (bases 196-382)
Source: RNAcentral